UCUUGUUUUUUUUUCUGUUAUUUUCCUUUUUGGUCUUCUUCCCCUUCUUGCUUGCCCUCUGCACGCCCGACGCUCCUUCUUCCCGAAGUCCUAGCCUCAUCGAAACUCAGCCAAGCAACGACGCAGCCCGGAACAACCGACGACCCUUCCACCGCCAAAUCUCCACCGGCCACUAGUUGGCCGGAGAUCAUCACCGUUGUCGGCCGAGCAUACCCUCCUCGGCCAAACAUCGAACAAACAACGGCGGCGAUGGGAACGUAAUGAACGACCACACGGCCGACGCCCAAGGUCACCCAACAUCACCGGGACAUCAGAAUAGAGCAAGACGCGCCCGGACAACUUGAUUUCAG
RNAcentral lists this long non-coding RNA (350 nucleotides) under Eucalyptus grandis. RNAcentral's name for it is "long non-coding RNA (EGRA_LNC000288)". The record is from RNAcentral. Lineage: Eukaryota; Viridiplantae; Streptophyta; Magnoliopsida; Myrtales; Myrtaceae.